ACGGGUUCUCUCUCUUCCUCUACCUCUCUCUUCCUCUUCCUCUCUAUUCUGAAAAAUCUUCUUCUGCAUCUUCCUCCAUACCCAUAAAUUGUUAUUACAGUUUUAUUUUUGAUUUUAAUAGGUGACUAAAUCAUACAUCGAGUUUAACAAAUCUCAAAGGUGUGGUGAUAUUCGUCGCUGGGUUGUUUUGACGGAGCCGUUUUCUCCUAUCAGAAAGCACUAACAGUGUACAAAACUACUAAGAGUUAUAGAAGAUUUGUCGGUGUUGGUUCACGGCAGGCGACGGAGUAUUCUGAAACAGAAAUUCAAGAGAAGACAUCGCACCUCCCCACUCUAUCGGUGUACUAUGGUUGGUAAACCGCGUCUUUAAAAGUGUUUUGAAUUUCACUUAUUUACUUUCAGUUAGAGAUGAAUGGCCAAGAUUAAAUACGAUGGAGAAUUUUGGCUAUGAUUUGCUGUUAGUUUUGAUGCGGUUUUAGUUUAAGUGCUGGUUGAUUUAUUUGCACUUCUCGGUAUGCCUAGAUGUAUGAACCAGUUUGUAUUAAUGGGUUGCGUGGCUCGGUUUUGGUAAGGAACCGGUUUGGGAGUUGUUAUUACUUAUUGGUGUAGAUUUUCCUGGUUUGUGGAUCUGUUAAUAGCAUCUUUGUAGAUGCUUAAUACUGGUUGUUUGGAAUUAUAUUUUCAACCAAAUGGAAAUGGAGAUAUAUUUUAGUGGUUAUAUGGAGAUUUGGUUUGAGUCUCCAAAUUCAUGUGCUUUCUAUUUAGAGAUUAGUUAGUUUAAUUUUCUUAUUUUACUCUAUCAAUUGUUAUCAGACUAAGAAGAAAUUACUUAAAUUUUGAUAGAAGAAAGAUCAUGAGUUUUACAAAAUAAUUAGCAUUGAUGAUAUUGAUAAUUUUGCAGAUUAUAAAGAGGAGGUUGUUUUAAGCUUAGGGGAUCUUAAAAGUUUCGGUUUCAGAGAACUCCAACAUGCAAUUUAGAGUUUCAGCUCCAAGAAUAUACUGGGUGCUGGAGGUUUUAGCAAUGUUAUUGAUUUUAUGUUUUAAUGUUUUUUUUUAAUUUUAAAUAUUCGAAAUAAAUUACUUAUGGAAUUGAAAAUUUUAAUUUAUUACUAUUUAAU
This is a long non-coding RNA of Vicia villosa (hairy vetch), 1118 nucleotides long. RefSeq lists it as uncharacterized. The record is from RefSeq and is a predicted model, not a curated record. Lineage: Eukaryota; Viridiplantae; Streptophyta; Magnoliopsida; Fabales; Fabaceae. The transcript is spliced from 5 exons.